RNAcentral lists this transfer RNA (19 nucleotides) under Natrix natrix (European grass snake). RNAcentral's name for it is "partial transfer RNA-Ser". Lineage: Eukaryota; Metazoa; Chordata; Lepidosauria; Squamata; Natricidae. The record is from RNAcentral.
CACCAGAGGGUGCAAUAAG